CGCACAUGCGCGCGCAUGCGUGCGCAUGCGUGCACACGCACACCCACACAGGCACCCGUGUAAAACUGCCACAGUGAAAGUCAUUUCUCUGUAUAUCAACUAGAAACUCAACAGAAAUUAGAGCAACAGAAUCCCCGCCAAAAUUAUCCCUAACAACGUUUUAUUCCAGGACUGCUAACGGUUUUCCCCGAGUAAUGAGCCACACGAAAGCGUAGGACUAGAGGGAGCCUGUGAAGUCACAAUUACUCCCCCACUGAAAGCCACUUAAAGCUCUCCCUAUUUCUGGUUCUAUAUGAAGUGCUGCCGUGAGCAUCCUUGUGCAUUUGUCUUCGAGUGUGUCCGAGGAGUAGAAUUCAAGGUGUGGCCAAGGCCCUGGAAGAGGAGAUGAGUAAGAUAAUCGGAAUUCAUGAUCAUCAUAAACCACUCCUUUGAAAAACAGAAGACUUAAAGGUGGGAGUAUGGAGUGAUGCUCCCUGGAACAGUGACGUCGACAGGCUUAGAGAAAUGGAAUGGCGCCCUGUCACCAAACUGCCUUCUACUGGGACUCUCUGGUUCACCAUCUCUUGAUCAUCACACUGAGAACCAAACGUACUUAGGGGAACAAACUCAACCCCUAGCAGCCAGUUUAUCCUCAUCGUCUCCUUCUGACAGGCCAUGAGCAGAGACCUUCUUAACUGGAGCGCCUCCUCCGAAGUCGGAUAACUGAGUAACUGGAUUUACGGAUGCUGAAGUGAGAGCCUUCUCUGCUUCCUGCGAUGGCUGUCUUAGGGGAGAGAGCUGAACCCCUUACCAAAAACAACCAACCAAACAUAAAACGUAGAGAAAGGCUUAGUGAUCCUUCUUAGAGAUGAAGGUGGGAUGGCUGUGCACAGUGGCUCUUUUCCCUGGAGGUGCCAAAAAGCUGUAGCUGUGGAUUCAAUGUGGACUCAGUGUGACAGAAACCGGAGCUCCAUAGAACUGUGAGCCAACGGGCCGGGACAGCAAGGGGGUUGGGCACUCAGCCUGGGGAAAUGCUUGCUACUCAGAAAAAGGUAAAACAGCUUCUAGAAUGUUGAACUAGAAUGUUGCUUUCCUGUAGUGUCUAGCAUGGAAUCCCUUGUUUUAUAUUUUCGUAGAUGAGAAUAUCUGGGUUUUUCUGUCUGAAUUUCCUGUGUAAUCCCCACUCCAUCCAGCUUAUCUCCAUUUGGUUAUUUGCCUGUCUACUGUUGGUUGGUAGACAGUCUUUAUGUAUUGUGGCCUUUCUUUUCCUGAGAGUUGUAUAGAAAGGCUUGUUCUCCCCAGACAGAAAGCCCAAAGAGAUGAUUCCAUCCGAGCCCAUCCUGGCGACCUCGUGAGUUUACUGUGAAGAGUGACUUACGGGGGUAGGAAUGACUCAGGCAGCUGCAUCACAAAAAAAUGCUCCCCACACCAGCUCGUGAAAGCUGCACCAUCAGAGCUUCCUGUGUGACGGGCGGGCAGCUACAUCACUGAAAGCUCUCCUCUGGCUCACAGAGCCUGGGAGUCUUAACUGGUUUCCUAACUUCCUGGAUCUUCCUCGUGAGUUUCCCCGAGCUUUGGGACCCAGCCUCCCUCCACAAAGCAACGUUUCAGCCCCUAAGAAGCAGCUACUUAGCACACGGUCUGAAUGACUCAUGGAUGACAUAGGGGGCCUGCAAGAUGGUUCAGGGUAACGGGGUUUGUCCCCAAGUCUGGCCAGCUGAGUUCCUUCCCUGGAACUAGCAGGAGAGAAACAAGUUCCAAAAGUUCAUCUUCAGAACCAUCCCUCCAAGGCCUCUGCAUCAGCUCCUGCUUCCUGACCUGCUUGAGUUCCAGUCCUGACUUCCUUUGGUGAUGAACAGCAAUGUGGAAGUGCGAGCUGAAUAAACCCUUUCCUGCCCAACUUGCUUCUUGGUCCUGAUGUUUGUGCAGGAAUAGAAACCCUGACUAAGACAAAUUAAACACGUUCCAAACGUCCUCUGACCUGCACAUGGACAAUGUGAU
RNAcentral lists this long non-coding RNA (1980 nucleotides) under Rattus norvegicus (Norway rat). RNAcentral's name for it is "long non-coding RNA NONRATT032295". The record is from RNAcentral. Lineage: Eukaryota; Metazoa; Chordata; Mammalia; Rodentia; Muridae.